GGAUACAGCUCAGUGGUAGAGCACGUGCUUAGCACACACGAGGUCUUAGGUUCAAUCCUCCAUAUAUCCA
RNAcentral lists this transfer RNA (70 nucleotides) under Camelus bactrianus (Bactrian camel). It matches the Rfam family "tRNA". Rfam says of the family: Transfer RNA (tRNA) molecules are approximately 80 nucleotides in length. Their secondary structure includes four short double-helical elements and three loops (D, anti-codon, and T loops). Lineage: Eukaryota; Metazoa; Chordata; Mammalia; Artiodactyla; Camelidae. RNAcentral also lists the same sequence under 2 other names. The record is from Rfam by way of RNAcentral.